This 253-nucleotide ribosomal RNA is filed under the name uncultured bacterium. RNAcentral describes it as "partial 16S ribosomal RNA". It matches the Rfam family "Bacterial small subunit ribosomal RNA", at positions 524 to 776 of the family's 1533-position model. The record is from RNAcentral.
UACAGAGGUGGCAAGCGUUGUUCGGAAUUACUGGGCGUAAAGGGCGCGUAGGCGGUUCUGUAAGUCCCGCGUGAAAUCCCCCGGCUCAACUGGGGAACUGCGCGGGAAACUGUGGGGCUAGAGUUCAGGAGAGGGAAGCGGAAUUCCGGGUGUAGCGGUGAAAUUCGUAGAUAUUAGCUAGAACACCAGUGGCGAAGGCGGCCAACUGGUCCGGCACUGACGCUGAGGUGCGAAAGCGUGGGGAGCAAACAGG